This 478-nucleotide ribosomal RNA is filed under the name Meloidogyne enterolobii. RNAcentral's name for it is "eukaryotic LSU rRNA". It matches the Rfam family "Eukaryotic large subunit ribosomal RNA", at positions 433 to 885 of the family's 3401-position model. Lineage: Eukaryota; Metazoa; Nematoda; Chromadorea; Rhabditida; Meloidogynidae. The record is from RNAcentral.
GGGGAUGUUUGAGGCAGAUUUGUAACCGCCGUUUUGAGGCCAGCUUGCUGGUACCCAAACAGCGUUAGCAUCUUUUGUCUUGGACAUUUGAGUAUGGUUUACGGGCAUUUAUUGGUUCGAUCUGAUUGUAAGUUACGGUCGCAUGCGACACGUGCUUUUCAUUUAGAUCGGUCCAGUUAAUGCUCUCGUACUCGCUCCCCAUGUAAAAGCCGGUCAUCUAUCCGACCCGUCUUGAAACACGGACCAAGGAGUUUAUCGUGUGCGCAAGUUUUUGGGUGUUAAAAACCUAAAAGCGAAAUGAAAGUAAAUGGCUCUUUAGAGUCUGACGUGCGAUCUUGUAAAAAAGGGCAGCAUGGCCCCAUUCUAACUGUUUACAGUAGGGUGGAGGAAGAGCGUACGCGGUGAGACCCGAAAGAUGGUGAACUAUUCCUGAGCAGGACGAAGCCAGAGGAAACUCUGGUGGAAGUCCGAAGCGGUU